This 742-nucleotide ribosomal RNA is filed under the name uncultured bacterium. Its description in RNAcentral is "bacterial SSU rRNA". It matches the Rfam family "Bacterial small subunit ribosomal RNA", at positions 1 to 734 of the family's 1533-position model. The record is from RNAcentral.
AAUUCGAUUAGAGUUUGAUCCUGGCUCAGAUUGAACGCUGGCGGCAUGCCUUACACAUGCAAGUCGAACGGCAGCACGGGAGCUUGCUCCUGGUGGCGAGUGGCGAACGGGUGAGUAAUACAUCGGAACGUACCCAGGAGUGGGGGAUAACGUAGCGAAAGUUACGCUAAUACCGCAUAUUCUGUGAGCAGGAAAGCGGGGGAUCGCAAGACCUCGCGCUCUUGGAGCGGCCGAUGUCGGAUUAGCUAGUUGGUGAGGUAAAAGCUCACCAAGGCGACGAUCCGUAGCAGGUCUGAGAGGAUGAUCUGCCACACUGGGACUGAGACACGGCCCAGACUCCUACGGGAGGCAGCAGUGGGGAAUUUUGGACAAUGGGGGCAACCCUGAUCCAGCCAUGCCGCGUGAGUGAAGAAGGCCUUCGGGUUGUAAAGCUCUUUCGGCGGGGAAGAAAUGGCAACGGCUAAUAUCCGUUGUUGAUGACGGUACCCGCAUAAGAAGCACCGGCUAACUACGUGCCAGCAGCCGCGGUAAUACGUAGGGUGCGAGCGUUAAUCGGAAUUACUGGGCGUAAAGCGUGCGCAGGCGGUUUCGUAAGACAGACGUGAAAUCCCCGGGCUCAACCUGGGAACUGCGUUUGUGACUGCGAGGCUAGAGUACGGCAGAGGGGGGUAGAAUUCCACGUGUAGCAGUGAAAUGCGUAGAGAUGUGGAGGAAUACCGAUGGCGAAGGCAGCCCCCUGGGU